RNAcentral lists this ribosomal RNA (459 nucleotides) under uncultured bacterium. RNAcentral describes it as "partial 16S ribosomal RNA". It matches the Rfam family "Bacterial small subunit ribosomal RNA", at positions 338 to 795 of the family's 1533-position model. The record is from RNAcentral.
CCUACGGGAGGCAGCAGUGAGGAAUAUUGGUCAAUGGGCGAGAGCCUGAACCAGCCAAGUCGCGUGAGGGAAGACGGUCCUAUGGAUUGUAAACCUCUUUUGCCGGGGAGCAAAACGCGGUACGCGUACCGCAUCGAGAGUACCCGGAGAAAAAGCAUCGGCUAACUCCGUGCCAGCAGCCGCGGUAAUACGGAGGAUGCGAGCGUUAUCCGGAUUUAUUGGGUUUAAAGGGUGCGCAGGCGGCGAGUUAAGUCAGCGGUAAAAUUUCGGGGCUCAACCCCGACAAGCCGUUGAAACUGGCGUGCUAGAGUGGGCGAGAAGUAGGCGGAAUGCGUGGUGUAGCGGUGAAAUGCAUAGAUAUCACGCAGAACUCCGAUUGCGAAGGCAGCAUACCGGCGCCCAACUGACGCUCAGGCACGAAAGCGUGGGUAUCGAACAGGAUUAGAUACCCUGGUAGUC